UCCAUCUCUGUAGGGUUUUGUAUAAUUGUAUUUAGUUUAGAUUGACAAAAUGUGACAAGGAAAGUAGCUUUAAUAUGCGUAAAAUUUAUAAAAAUCUCAAGAUGGCGGCUUGCCCGCAAGUUUAUUGGUCCACGUGGCCUAAUCAAACUUUGAGAUAAACCUAGGAUUUUACUAAGAUAAUAAAACUUUCAAAAAAUAAUGGAGAAUCGGCAAUGGACCAAAAGUAAACACUGAAUGUAGAACACACUAGUAGAUUACAUAUGCUUGUAGAAAUUCCUUAUUCCUCAAUCAUCAAAAUGAAGAAACAAAAUAAACAGCAGAUUCCAGAGAGAACUCAAAUGAUUUGACUGGCAUGUGCUGAUCGGAAAGGGAAAACCUAAGUACAAGAAUGUAUACAUUAAGAAGGCAAAGAGGCCUCACAAUAACAAGAUACAAACUGCAUCCUCAAACUACUAUAAAUAUUGAAAAUAAUAUAUUCAAUGAUCAAUGUCACAUCUAAAAAAUUAUCAACUCAAACAAAAUAUCCUCAUGUAUUUAUUAUGAGGUCCUUUCCUCCCAGAAAUACUAAGUUUCUACGCCC
This 580-nucleotide long non-coding RNA is filed under the name Oryza brachyantha (malo sina). RNAcentral describes it as "long non-coding RNA (OBRA_LNC001575)". The record is from RNAcentral. Lineage: Eukaryota; Viridiplantae; Streptophyta; Magnoliopsida; Poales; Poaceae.